This 503-nucleotide ribosomal RNA is filed under the name uncultured Glomus. RNAcentral's name for it is "SSU rRNA". It matches the Rfam family "Eukaryotic small subunit ribosomal RNA", at positions 569 to 1074 of the family's 1831-position model. Lineage: Eukaryota; Fungi; Glomeromycota; Glomeromycetes; Glomerales; Glomeraceae. The record is from RNAcentral.
AGCAGCCGCGGUAAUUCCAGCUCCAAUAGCGUAUAUUAAAGUUGUUGCAGUUAAAAAGCUCGUAGUUGAAUUUCGGGAUCAGUAGGUUGGUCGUGCCACUGGUAUGUACUGGCCUUACUGGUUCCUCCUUCUUGUAGAACUGCAAUGUCAUUAAUUUGGUGUUGCAGGGAAACAGGACUGUUACUUUGAAAAAAUUAGAGUGUUUAAAGCAGGCUAACGCUUGAAUACAUUAGCAUGGAAUAAUGAAAUAGGACGUUCGAUCCUAUUUUGUUGGUUUCUAGGAUUGACGUAAUGAUUAAUAGGGAUAGUUGGGGGCAUUAGUAUUCAAUUGUCAGAGGUGAAAUUCUUGGAUUUAUUGAAGACUAACUACUGCGAAAGCAUUUGCCAAGGAUGUUUUCAUUAAUCAAGAACGAAAGUUAGGGGAUCGAAGACGAUCAGAUACCGUCGUAGUCUUAACCAUAAACUAUGCCGACUAGGGAUCGGAUGAUGUUAAUUUUUAAUGA